Non-coding RNA from Biomphalaria pfeifferi, 377 nucleotides. The record is from the annotation of a GenBank genome assembly. NCBI's taxonomy places the organism in Eukaryota, Metazoa, Mollusca, Gastropoda, Planorbidae.
AGUUCGGGAAUCCCAUUUUCUAUUUUUAAAAUCUUACUCUUUUGCUAUGACUGGAGAGUAUUUAUUGUCCUUGGAUCUUGCGCGUCUAAACGUCUAAGAUUUGAUAAACAAACUAGGUAAUACGCCUUUUAGAUUAUAGUUUAUUUUAUCUACAUAUGUUAAUAUAUUGAUAUGUAAAUGUUAAUUGCAAAAAACAUUAAAGGUAACAUUUAAUAGAAUAAUUUAACUUUUUAAAAACAAAAAGCAUUGAUAAAAUGUUGUUACGAAAACUCACUGGUAUGUCAUGUAAUAUUUCCUUGAGAUUUAAUGAAUUGCCACUAGAAAAAAGUAAAUUAUACUUUGAUGGCAUUUUCAGAUGAGGUUAUGAAAUCAAGUCG